RNAcentral lists this long non-coding RNA (444 nucleotides) under Musa acuminata (dwarf banana). RNAcentral describes it as "long non-coding RNA (MACU_LNC000897)". The record is from RNAcentral. Lineage: Eukaryota; Viridiplantae; Streptophyta; Magnoliopsida; Zingiberales; Musaceae.
UCCAGAAGAUGCGAGCUAAAUCACUCUCACUGGAGGAUAAGUACAUCAAUGUAUGCAUCUUUUCAUGCUUGGAAAAGAUAAAGACAACAAGCACAGUACAAAGAGUUUUUUGGUAUUGAGGGGGAGAACACCAUCAGACAUCAUGGGAAGGGCAGAGGAGGGAGAUGAAGGUUUGCUUCUCGGUCAUGGUCAUGGUCAUGGUCAUUGCAUGGACGCAUGCAUUUCCCGAGGAGAAGCGAAUCAUCCCAGCAGCCAGCCCUACCCUUUGCUUUCUCGUCGCAGUUCACCGCUGCACUUUAACGGCGCCCGAGGGGAGGGAGAGGCAUAUCAUCCUCUGGUUUCGAGACCAUCCCUUCGUUUCAGUACCAGGAGAAAAGCACGGAGAGAGAGAGAGAGAGAGAGAGAAAAGCAAAAGCGAAGGCCACUCACAUAAACGCCACACCG